AUUGAACGCUGGCGGCGUGCCUAACACAUGCAAGUCGAGCGGUAACAGGUGUAGCAAUACAUGCUGACGAGCGGCGAACGGGUGAGUAAUGCUUCGGAAUCUACCCAAUGGUGGGGAAUAACCAGCCGAAAGGUUGGCUAAUACCGCAUACGUCCCACGGGAGAAAGCAGGGGAUCGCAAGACCUUGCGCCAAUGGAUGAGCCGAAGUCGGAUUAGCUAGNGGUAGGGUAACGGCCUACCAAGGCGACGAUCCGUAGCUGGUCUGAGAGGACGACCAGCCACACUGGGACUGAGACACGGCCCAGACUCCUACGGGAGCAGCAGUGGGGAAUAUUGGACAAUGGGGGAAACCCUGAUCCAGCGACGCCGCG
Molecule: ribosomal RNA, 371 nt
Filed under: uncultured bacterium
Lineage: Bacteria
Description: bacterial SSU rRNA
Rfam family: Bacterial small subunit ribosomal RNA
Source: RNAcentral